CGUUAAAUCAAGAAGCAAUUGCAUCUGGGUACCCAAGAUUCGGAUAUUCAGGACAGGUUAGAGUUUAUCGUGAAAAUUUGGAUCCACCAUUCGUUUAUUUUUCCACCAA
Molecule: long non-coding RNA, 109 nt
Organism: Xenia sp. Carnegie-2017
Lineage: Eukaryota; Metazoa; Cnidaria; Anthozoa; Malacalcyonacea; Xeniidae
Exons: 3
Source: RefSeq, a predicted model, not a curated record